RNAcentral lists this ribosomal RNA (508 nucleotides) under uncultured Acidobacteriota bacterium. RNAcentral's name for it is "bacterial SSU rRNA". It matches the Rfam family "Bacterial small subunit ribosomal RNA", at positions 355 to 880 of the family's 1533-position model. Lineage: Bacteria; Pseudomonadati; Acidobacteriota. The record is from RNAcentral.
UCGGGAAUUUUGCGCAAUGGACGAAAGUCUGACGCAGCAACGCCGCGUGAGGGAUGAAGGCCUUCGGGUUGUAAACCUCUUUUAUCAGGGAAGAUGAUGACGGUACCUGAUGAAUAAGUCACGGCUAACUACGUGCCAGCAGCCGCGGUAAUACGUAGGUGACAAGCGUUGUCCGGAUUUACUGGGCGUAAAGAGCGCGCAGGCGGUCGUUCAAGUCGAGUGUGAAAGCCCCCGGCUCAACUGGGGAGGGUCAUUCGAUACUGAUCGACUCGAAGGCAGGAGAGGGUAGUGGAAUUCCCGGUGUAGUGGUGAAAUGCGUAGAUAUCGGGAGGAACACCAGUGGCGAAGGCGACUACCUGGCCUGUUCUUGACGCUGAGGCGCGAAAGCUAGGGGGAGCAAACGGGAUUAGAUACCCCGGUAGUCCUAGCCGUAAACGAUGGACACUAGGUGUUGGUGGUAUCAACCCCGCAGUGCCGAAGCUAACGCAUUAAGUGUCCCGCUGGGGAG